Molecule: long non-coding RNA, 66 nt
Filed under: Ovis aries (sheep)
Lineage: Eukaryota; Metazoa; Chordata; Mammalia; Artiodactyla; Bovidae
Description: lncRNA (ENSOARG00000025817.1)
Source: RNAcentral
AUUUUGAAAGACAUAAAACUAUCUUUACUGUGGCACUUAAAUUUUUAUUGAUUUUUUUUUUUUUUU